Molecule: ribosomal RNA, 1162 nt
Filed under: Heyndrickxia coagulans
Lineage: Bacteria; Bacillati; Bacillota; Bacilli; Caryophanales; Bacillaceae
Description: bacterial SSU rRNA
Rfam family: Bacterial small subunit ribosomal RNA
Source: RNAcentral
AGCAGGGGUGUGCUAUGCGUGGAAGUCGUGCGGACCUUUUAAAAGCUUGCUUUUAAAAGGUUAGCGGCGGACGGGGGAGUAACACGUGGGCAACCUGCCUGUAAGAUCGGGAUAACGCCGGGAAACCGGGGCUAAUACCGGAUAGUUUUUUCCUCCGCAUGGAGGAAAAAGGAAAGACGGCUUCUGCUGUCACUUACAGAUGGGCCCGCGGCGCAUUAGCUAGUUGGUGGGGUAACGGCUCACCAAGGCAACGAUGCGUAGCCGACCUGAGAGGGUGAUCGGCCACAUUGGGACUGAGACACGGCCCAAACUCCUACGGGAGGCAGCAGUAGGGAAUCUUCCGCAAUGGACGAAAGUCUGACGGAGCAACGCCGCGUGAGUGAAGAAGGCCUUCGGGUCGUAAAACUCUGUUGCCGGGGAAGAACAAGUGCCGUUCGAACAGGGCGGCGCCUUGACGGUACCCGGCCAGAAAGCCACGGCUAACUACGUGCCAGCAGCCGCGGUAAUACGUAGGUGGCAAGCGUUGUCCGGAAUUAUUGGGCGUAAAGCGCGCGCAGGCGGCUUCUUAAGUCUGAUGUGAAAUCUUGCGGCUCAACCGCAAGCGGUCAUUGGAAACUGGGAGGCUUGAGUGCAGAAGAGGAGAGUGGAAUUCCACGUGUAGCGGUGAAAUGCGUAGAGAUGUGGAGGAACACCAGUGGCGAAGGCGGCUCUCUGGUCUGUAACUGACGCUGAGGCGCGAAAGCGUGGGGAGCAAACAGGAUUAGAUACCCUGGUAGUCCACGCCGUAAACGAUGAGUGCUAAGUGUUAGAGGGUUUCCGCCCUUUAGUGCUGCAGCUAACGCAUUAAGCACUCCGCCUGGGGAGUACGGCCGCAAGGCUGAAACUCAAAGGAAUUGACGGGGGGCCCGCACAAGCGGUGGAGCAUGUGGUUUUAAUUCGAAGCAACGCGAAGAACCUUACCAGGUCUUGACAUCCUCUGAUCCUCCCUGGAGACAGGGCCUUCCCCUUCGGGGGACAGAGUGACAGUGUGCAUGAUUGUCGUCAGCUCGUGUCGUGAGAUGGUGGGUUAGUCCCGCACGAGCGCACCUGAACUAGUGCAGCAAUCAGUGGCACCUCUAGUGACUGCCGUGACAACCGAGAAGGUGGGGGAUGACGUCCAUCA